CGUUCCCGGGCCUUGUACACACCGCCCGUCAAGCCAUGGAACUAGGGGUACCCGAAAACGCUGUGUCAACCGCAAGGAGACAGGCGUCUAAGGUAAAACUAGCGACUGGGGCU
This 113-nucleotide ribosomal RNA is filed under the name uncultured bacterium. RNAcentral describes it as "partial 16S ribosomal RNA". It matches the Rfam family "Bacterial small subunit ribosomal RNA", at positions 1369 to 1482 of the family's 1533-position model. The record is from RNAcentral.